CAAAAUGGUAAUGCGGGACUCUUGUUCGAAAAGCAGGAAACAAGUACCCUGAAAGUGCCAUUUUCAAGAAGAAUGGACUGAGGAGGACUGGGAUUGUUACAGCAAGAAUGUCAAGAGAAAGACAAAGUCCUUAUGCAGCCAGUGACAUCCAAGGCAUGGAGGCAAGAUAGUUGAGUCUGCAGCAUCUAGAAGUCAAACUUUGACAAGAGAGAGAAGGGUUUCCUAAAUUUGCUGAGUUCCACUAACAUAUUAAGAACCAGGCCUGGCGGACCAGAUCCAGGAGUCUGACAUAAGCUAAGGAGAACACGCUGCCAGGAUGUGCUGCAAGCCAGCACCGCUUCUCUGACUUUAAUGUGCAUGUGAAUCACCCGGGCACCUUGUUAACAUACAAGCCCUGGUUCCGCAAGUCCAUGGUGGGGCUUGAGAGUCUACAUUUCUAAUAAGCUCUGGGGAUACUGAUGCAGCUCGUCCGUGGCCCACUGUCUAGUGGCAAAGAUGUUAAGGAUAUCAAGGCUAAAACUGAA
This 524-nucleotide long non-coding RNA is filed under the name Homo sapiens (human). RNAcentral's name for it is "HSALNT0021302". Lineage: Eukaryota; Metazoa; Chordata; Mammalia; Primates; Hominidae. The record is from RNAcentral.